This 405-nucleotide ribosomal RNA is filed under the name uncultured bacterium. RNAcentral describes it as "bacterial SSU rRNA". It matches the Rfam family "Bacterial small subunit ribosomal RNA", at positions 357 to 774 of the family's 1533-position model. The record is from RNAcentral.
GGGAAUAUUGCACAAUGGGCGCAAGCCUGAUGCAGCAACGCCGCGUGAGGGACGACGGCCUUCGGGUUGUAAACCUCUUUUGGCAGGGAAGAAGCGAAAGUGACGGUACCUGCAGAAAAAGCACCGGCUAACUACGUGCCAGCAGCCGCGGUGAUACGUAGGGUGCAAGCGUUGUCCGGAAUUAUUGGGCGUAAAGAGCUCGUAGGCGGUUUGUCGCGUCUGCUGUGAAAACCCGAGGCUCAACCUCGGGCCUGCAGUGGGUACGGGCAAACUAGAGUGCGGUAGGGGAGAUUGGAAUUCCUGGUGUAGCGGUGAAAUGCGUAGAUAUCAGGAGGAACACCGGCGAUGUAGACAGCUUUCUGGACCAAAACUGACGCUGAGGCACGAAAGCGUGGGUACCAAACA